AUGACGAGAGUGAAGAAUAGUUAUUAUAUACUUCCAAAAGAACCUAAACCCAAGCGCACGGUGUCAAACACUAAAAACAUUGGGAAGGUAAUGUUCCUCAUUGUUGUGGCCAGGCCACGAUAUAACAAUGAGGGGGACCUAACAUUCGAUGGGAAAAUCGGCAUUUCGGCAUUCAUCAAAGAAACUGAGGCGAUGCGGACAAGUCAGAACAGAGCAAAGGGAACAAAAGUGUUGACAUCAGUGAAACUAACCAGGCCUGUGUGCAGAGAUUAUCCCAUUGAUGACCCACAAGUGUAG
RNAcentral lists this ribosomal RNA (297 nucleotides) under Triticum aestivum (bread wheat). Its description in RNAcentral is "partial small subunit ribosomal RNA". The record is from RNAcentral. Lineage: Eukaryota; Viridiplantae; Streptophyta; Magnoliopsida; Poales; Poaceae.